UUCAAAUGAUGAUUUAUAAGGCGAAUAAGAACUCUGGAUUCCCGCUUUGCGACAUUUGUGCCAAUGUCUUGUUUUCUUGAUAUGCGACUCAGUUCAUCCGAACUACUCCGUAGUCGUGUAUUGUAAUCCCAAGGCUGCAGCAACCCUUUCACUAAAGACUCCAGAAAUACCAAAGUCCUCGUAUUUUCUGAUUGAUUUGAAAGGAACAGUACUUUCUAUUCUCUAUAACCUUUUCGGCACUGUCGCUUUUUGCGGCCCAGAGUAAAUGAUUUAGAUCUUUAGUAAUCUGAUGAAC
This is a non-coding RNA of Ciona savignyi (Pacific transparent sea squirt), 295 nucleotides long. The record is from Rfam. NCBI's taxonomy places the organism in Eukaryota, Metazoa, Chordata, Ascidiacea, Phlebobranchia, Cionidae.